Molecule: ribosomal RNA, 253 nt
Filed under: uncultured bacterium
Lineage: Bacteria
Description: partial 16S ribosomal RNA
Rfam family: Bacterial small subunit ribosomal RNA
Source: RNAcentral
UACGGAGGGUGCAAGCGUUGAUCGGAAUUACUGGGCGUAAAGCGCACGCAGGUGGCUGAGUCAGUCGAUUGUGAAAGCCCUGGGCUUAACCUGGGAAUUGCAGUCGAUACUACUCAGCUAGAGUAUGGGAGAGGGCAGUGGAAUUCCCGGUGUAGCGGUGAAAUGCGUAGAUAUCGGGAGGAACAUCAGUGGCGAAGGCGGCUGCCUGGCCCAAUACUGACACUCAGGUGCGACAGCGUGGGGAGCAAACAGG